GUCCCUGUAGCGCAAUGGAUAGCACGUUGGAUUUCUAAUCCAAAGGUCGUGGGUUCAAAUCUCACCUGUGAUG
Molecule: non-coding RNA, 73 nt
Organism: Trichonephila inaurata madagascariensis
Lineage: Eukaryota; Metazoa; Arthropoda; Arachnida; Araneae; Nephilidae
Source: the annotation of a GenBank genome assembly